ACGGAAGGCAGCAGUGGGGAAUAUUGGGCAAUGGGCGAAAGCCUGACCCAGCAACGCCGCGUGAAGGAAGAAGGCCUUCGGGUUGUAAACUUCUUUUACCAGGGACGAAGGACGUGACGGUACCUGGAGAAAAAGCAACGGCUAACUACGUGCCAGCAGCCGCGGUAAUACGUAGGUUGCAAGCGUUGUCCGGAUUUACUGGGUGUAAAGGGAGCGUAGACGGCAAAGCAAGUCUGAAGUGAAAUGCGGGGGCUUAACCCCUGAACUGCUUUGGAAACUGUUUAGCUAGAGUGCAGGAGAGGUAAGCGGAAUUCCUAGUGUAGCGGUGAAAUGCGUAGAUAUUAGGAGGAACACCAGUGGCGAAGGCGGCUUACUGGACUGUAACUGACGUUGAGGCUCGAAAGCGUGGGGAGCAAACAGGAUUAGAUACCCUGGUA
This 437-nucleotide ribosomal RNA is filed under the name uncultured Clostridium sp. RNAcentral's name for it is "partial 16S ribosomal RNA". It matches the Rfam family "Bacterial small subunit ribosomal RNA", at positions 341 to 792 of the family's 1533-position model. The record is from RNAcentral. Lineage: Bacteria; Bacillati; Bacillota; Clostridia; Eubacteriales; Clostridiaceae.